AGAGUUUGAUCAUGGCUCAGGACGAACGCUGGCGGCGUGCCUAAUACGUGCAAGUGGAACGCAAUUGAUUCUUCCGUAGCUUGCUACAUUUGAAUUGAUUGAGUCGCGAACGGGUGAGUAACGCGUAGGUAACCUACCUUAUAGCGGGGGAUAACUAUUGGAAACGAUAGCUAAUACCGCAUAGGAGUUGACAACACAUGUUGUUAAUUUAAAAGGAGCAACAGCUUCACUAUGAGAUGGACCUGCGUUGUAUUAGCUAGUUGGUAAGGUAACGGCUUACCAAGGCUUCGAUACAUAGCCGACCUGAGAGGGUGAUCGGCCACACUGGGACUGAGACACGGCCCAGACUCCUACGGGAGGCAGCAGUAGGGAAUCUUCGGCAAUGGGGGGAACCCUGACCGAGCAACGCCGCGUGAGUGAAGAAGGUUUUCGGAUCGUAAAGCUCUGUUAUAAGCGAAGAACGGGAGUAAGAGUGGAAAAUUUACUCUGUGACGGUAGCUUAUCAGAAAGGGACGGCUAACUACGUGCCAGCAGCCGCGGUAAUACGUAGGUCCCGAGCGUUGUCCGGAUUUAUUGGGCGUAAAGCGAGCGCAGGUGGUUUAAUAAGUCUGAAGUUAAAGGCAUUGGCUCAACCAAUGUACGCUUUGGAAACUGUUAAACUUGAGUGCAGAAGGGGAGAGUGGAAUUCCAUGUGUAGCGGUGAAAUGCGUAGAUAUAUGGAGGAACACCGGUGGCGAAAGCGGCUCUCUGGUCUGUAACUGACACUGAGGCUCGAAAGCGUGGGUAGCGAACAGGAUUAGAUACCCUGGUAGUCCACGCCGUAAACGAUGAGUGCUAGGUGUUGGGUCCUUUCCGGGACUCAGUGCCCGCAGCUAACGCAUUAAGCACUCCGCCUGGGGGAGUACGACCGCAAGGUUGAAACUCAAAGGAAUUUGACGGGGGCCCGCACAAGCGGUGGAGCAUGGUGGAUUAUCGGAGCACGCGAAGAAUCUUUACAAGUCCUGACAAUCCGAUGCCCGGUCUAGAGAAAUAAGAGUUUUACUUCGGCUACAUUCGUGAACGUGGUGCCAUGCAUUGUUCGAUUCG
RNAcentral lists this ribosomal RNA (1086 nucleotides) under uncultured bacterium. RNAcentral describes it as "bacterial SSU rRNA". It matches the Rfam family "Bacterial small subunit ribosomal RNA", at positions 8 to 1062 of the family's 1533-position model. The record is from RNAcentral.